Molecule: long non-coding RNA, 631 nt
Organism: Carya illinoinensis
Lineage: Eukaryota; Viridiplantae; Streptophyta; Magnoliopsida; Fagales; Juglandaceae
Exons: 2
Source: RefSeq, a predicted model, not a curated record
AGCAGGAGCAUCUAUUUUAUUGCAAUCAACAAGAACAAUGCACUUACAAGUUAGUUCUUGGAUUUAUUUGCUUGAAAGAGACAUCAAUUUUCAGACAGAUAACACUAGCAUCAAUUUUCAGUGCACCACAUAGACAGAUAACACUAUAUAGGAAUCUUUCUCAGUAUACUAUCUAGGUGUAUGGUUCUUAUAUGGGUUAUUUGGUUGUAAAUGAUGACACUGUUUUAUUGUGAUUAGGAGUAUGUGACAGUGCAUGAUGGAGCCAUAGUCAAGGCAAGGUGGGAGGUUGAGUUACCACAACAGCAGCAGCAACAACAGAAAUGAUAUGACCAAGACAAUGGUGUCCAACAUAUCUUAUAUGUGUUCAACUGUACGUCCAAAAUAUUAGAUUUGCAACAAAAGUUCUUGGAGACAUGAUUCAAUAAUUGAGAGACAUGGGAAAGAAAUUGUUAUGGUUCCCUGAAGCCCCUGUUAGCUGGGAGAGCAACCUUCCCCAUUGAAUGUAGGAGUAAAUGCUUGAUCAUAUCAUUGCUUGAUGGAAAUACGGUUUGUUUCACAUCUCCCUCAGCUUUCCAAGUACAUGGUUGGUAUAUUUUUUUAUCACAGCACAUUGACCAGGCAUUAGCUUUAA